Molecule: unclassified non-coding RNA, 186 nt
Filed under: Glomus sp.
Lineage: Eukaryota; Fungi; Glomeromycota; Glomeromycetes; Glomerales; Glomeraceae
Description: partial contains 5.8S ribosomal RNA and internal transcribed spacer 2
Rfam family: 5.8S ribosomal RNA (bases 1-65)
Source: RNAcentral
GUGAAUCAUCAAAUUUUUGAACGCAAAUUGCACUCUCUUCGGAUAGUAUGCCUGUUUGAGUGUCAGCCUAAAAAAAUUCGAAAUAGUUGCUGUUACUCUUUAACAUUCGUCGUAACUUGGGUCUGCUUAAACCUUUGGGUUUAUGCCUCUUAAAAUUUUCUUUACGAUUCCAAGUACGCUUCUAAG